RNAcentral lists this long non-coding RNA (338 nucleotides) under Mus musculus (house mouse). RNAcentral's name for it is "predicted gene, 48724". Lineage: Eukaryota; Metazoa; Chordata; Mammalia; Rodentia; Muridae. The record is from RNAcentral.
ACUGUCUCUAGGAUAUAUUUUUAUUAAUUCAUUGAGAAUUUCAUACAAUACAUUUUGAUCACGUUUACCCCACUUCUCCUCCUAACUCCUCCCAGAUCCACCCUGCACCUGCCCACUCCUCUUAACUUCACAUUCUCCCAUUUCUUUACCUUUUCAAAAAGCAAGCCACACUGUUUAAUUUGUGCUGUCAUUAUACUCACGGGCACAGGGUCAUCUACUGGACAAUGGUCACUUAUUAAGGACACCUUAAAGAAAAUCCUCUCUCCCUCCUCUGGAAGUCUUCAGUUGUUGGGUGAAAUAGUUAGGCAUCCUGAGUGAACUGAAACAUGAUGGCUGGA